AUAAGUGCAUAUGGUGGAUGCCUUGGCGAUUACAGGCGAUGAAGGGCGUGGAAGCCUGCGAAAAGCUCCGGGGAGCUGGCAAACAAGCAUUGAUCCGGAGAUGUCCGAAUGGGGAAACCCGGCCCGCAAGGGUCAACCUUGGCUGAAUACAUAGGUCAAGCGUGGCAAACCUGGCGAACUGAAACAUCUAAGUAGCCAGAGGAACAGAAAUCAACCGAGAUUCCCAGAGUAGCGGCGAGCGAAAUGGGAGGAGCCUUCAACUUUUAGCAUUUAAACUAGCCAAGCCGUCUGGAAAGUCGGGCCAUAGUGGGUGAUAGCCCCGUAGGUGAAAGUUUAAAUGUGGAACUAGGGUUGAAACAAGUAGGGCGGGACACGAGAAAUCCUGUUUGAAUAUGGGGGGACCAUCCUCCAAGGCUAAAUACUCGUAAUCGACCGAUAGUGAACCAGUACCGUGAGGGAAAGGCGAAAAGAACCCCGGGAGGGGAGUGAAAUAGAUCCUGAAACCGUAUGCAUACAAACAGUGGGAGCCCCUGCUUAAAGAACCUUUGUUUUUUGCUUUAUUUUUUGGUAAGUAGAAUAAAUCAAAAUUAUAAAGGGUGAAGAAAUCUUUUUUGGGAAAAGAACCCCAAGGGUUCUUUAAGCAGGGGUGACUGCGUACCUUUUGUAUAAUGGGUCAGCGACUUACAUUCAGUAGCAAGCUUAACCAAAUAGGGGAAGCGUAGCGAAAGCGAGUCUUAAUAGGGCGUUUAGUUGCUGGGUGUAGACCCGAAACCAGAUGAUCUACUCAUGGCCAGGAUGAAGCGGGGGUAACACCUCGUGGAGGUCCGAACCCACUAAUGUUGAAAAAUUAGGGGAUGAGCUGUGGGUAGGGGUGAAAGGCUAAACAAAUCUGGAAAUAGCUGGUUCUCUCCGAAAACUAUUUAGGUAGUGCCUCACGUAUCACCUUUGGGGGUAGAGCACUGUUAUGGCUAGGGGGCCGCUUAGGCUUACCAAACCAUGGCAAACUCCGAAUACCGAAGAGUGCAAGCGUGGGAGACAGACAUUGGGUGCUAACGUCCGGUGUCGAAAGGGAAACAACCCAGACCCUCAGCUAAGGUCCCAAAGUACAGUUAAGUGGUAAACGAGGUGGGAAGGCAAAAACAGUCAGGAAGUUGGCGUAGAAGCAGCCAUCUUUUAAAGAAAGCGUAAUAGCUCACUGAUCGAGUCGUCCUGCGCGGAAGAUGUAACGGGGCUCAAACUGUACACCGAAGCUAGGGAUCUACAUGCAAGUGUAGAUGGUAGGAGAGCGUUCCGUAGGCCUGCGAAGGUGGCUUGUGAAGGCUGCUGGAGGUAUCGGAAGUGCGAAUGCUGACAUGAGUAGCGAUAAAGGGAGUGAAAGGCUCCCUCGCCGUAAGCCCAAGGUUUCCUGUGCAACGUUCAUCGGCGCAGGGUGAGUCGGCCCCUAAGGUGAGGCAGAAAUGCGUAGCUGAUGGGAAACUGGUUAAUAUUCCAGUACCUUUGUUCAAUGCGAUGUGGGGACGGAGAAGGUUAACUCAGCCGGGUGUUGGAUGUCCCGGUUCAAGCGUGUAGAUAUGCUGCCUAGGCAAAUCCGGGCGGCUUAGUUGAGGCGCGAUAACGCAACGCCCCUCGGGGCGCCAAGUGAGUGAUACCCUGCUUCCAGGAAAAGCCACUAAGCUUCAGUUGAAUAAAGACCGUACCGCAAACCGACACAGGUGGGCGGGAUGAAAAUUCUAAGGCGCUUGAGAGAACUCAGGAGAAGGAACUCGGCAAAUUGACACCGUAACUUCGGGAUAAGGUGUACCCUCGGUACGUGUAGCGCCUCGCGCGUGAAGCGGAUGAGGGUUGCAAAGAAAUGGUGGCUGCGACUGUUUAAUAAAAACACAGCACUCUGCAAACACGCAAGUGGACGUAUAGAGUGUGACGCCUGCCCGGUGCCGGAAGGUUAAAUGAUGGGGUGCAAGCUCUUGAUUGAAGCCCCGGUAAACGGCGGCCGUAACUAUAACGGUCCUAAGGUAGCGAAAUUCCUUGUCGGGUAAGUUCCGACCUGCACGAAUGGCGUAACGAUGGCCACACUGUCUCCUCCUGGGACUCAGCGAAGUUGAAAUGGUUGUGAAGAUGCAAUCUACCCGCGGCUAGACGGAAAGACCCCGUGCACCUUUACUGUAGCUUUACAUUGGGCUUUGAGAAUAUCUGUGUAGGAUAGGUGGGAGGCAUUGAAGUGGACUCGCUAGAGUUCAUGGAGCCAACGUUGAAAUACCACCCUGAUGUUGUUGAGGUUCUAACCUAGGUCCAUUAUCUGGAUCGGGGACCGUGUAUGGUAGGCAGUUUGACUGGGGCGGUCUCCUCCCAAAGAGUAACGGAGGAGUACUAAGGUACGCUAGGUACGGUCGGAAAUCGUGCUGAUAGUGCAAUGGCAAAAGCGUGCUUGACUGCGAGACUGACAAGUCGAGCAGAUGCGAAAGCAGGUCAUAGUGAUCCGGUGGUUCUGUAUGGAAGGGCCAUCGCUCAACGGAUAAAAGGUACGCCGGGGAUAACAGGCUAAUUCCUCCCAAGAGUUCAUAUCGACGGGGGAGUUUGGCACCUCGAUGUCGGCUCAUCACAUCCUGGGGCUGUAGCCGGUCCCAAGGGUAUGGCUGUUCGCCAUUUAAAGUGGUACGUGAGCUGGGUUUAAAACGUCGUGAGACAGUUUGGUCCCUAUCUGCCGUGGGCGCUGGAAGUUUGAGAGGACCUGCUCCUAGUACGAGAGGACCGGAGUGGACGCACCUCUGGUGUACCGGUUAUGACGCCAGUCGUAUUGCCGGGUAGCUAAGUGCGGAAGAGAUAACCGCUGAAAGCAUCUAAGCGGGAAACUCACCUCAAGAUGAGACUUCCCGGGGGUUAAACCCCCCUAAAGGUUCGUCGAAGACUACGACGUUGAUAGGUCGGAUGUGGAAGCGCAGCAAUGCGUUGAGCUAACCGAUACUAAUUGACCGUGCGGCUUGAUC
RNAcentral lists this ribosomal RNA (2984 nucleotides) under marine sediment metagenome. RNAcentral's name for it is "bacterial LSU rRNA". It matches the Rfam family "Bacterial large subunit ribosomal RNA". The record is from RNAcentral.